GAUGAACGCUGGCGGCGUGCUUAACACAUGCAAGUCGAACGGACUCAUAUUGAAACCUAGUGAUAUAUGAGUUAGUGGCGGACGGGUGAGUAACGCGUGGAGAACCUGCCGUAUACUGGGGGAUAACACUUAGAAAUAGGUGCUAAUACCGCAUAAGCGCACAGCUUCGCAUGAAGCAGUGUGAAAAACUCCGGUGGUAUACGAUGGAUCCGCGUCUGAUUAGCUAGUUGGCGGGGUAAAGGCCCACCAAGGCGACGAUCAGUAGCCGGCCUGAGAGGGUGAACGGCCACAUUGGGACUGAGACACGGCUCAA
This 313-nucleotide ribosomal RNA is filed under the name uncultured bacterium. RNAcentral describes it as "bacterial SSU rRNA". It matches the Rfam family "Bacterial small subunit ribosomal RNA", at positions 28 to 334 of the family's 1533-position model. The record is from RNAcentral.